Molecule: long non-coding RNA, 764 nt
Organism: Aegilops tauschii subsp. strangulata
Lineage: Eukaryota; Viridiplantae; Streptophyta; Magnoliopsida; Poales; Poaceae
Source: RefSeq, a predicted model, not a curated record
AUGAUCAAGGAUGACUAGAUAUUAUUAGCAGAGAAUUUCUCAAGUCCCACACUCAAGCAACUAAUUGGAACGACUCGUGUAAAAAAACUACUUGAAAUGCUAGCUAGGUAGUGACUAGCGAUAGCAAUUCAAUGAACCUACCACGGACGGCGCCACGGCAGGAUCAGUGGCUGCACGUGGCACUGUACUGAUCCUCCAGCCUCAAUGUUGCAGCAUGUUGUCCCGACACGUACUCAAACCUACUCCGCGGGCAGAGUGCAGCAGCACAGGGCGGCCCUAGCGGCGCGACGUUCAUAGCAGUUUGGCUAGCUAGAAGAUGUACAUGACAGGGAAAAGGGCACCAAAGGUUCGAGGGGAAGCCAAAAUAUGGUUUAGAUCAAGAGAAAAGAAUUGGACAAGACAACACCAGUGAGGCAAUGCAUAGUUACUGCUAGAGGAAUUGACUUUGAUAUCAUACAAGGCAUCAUUUGGUUGUAAAAAUGUUUUUGGCACCCCCAAAUUUACCAAUGAUUGCAAUAGAUCAGUUUCGACAUAUACUACUAUUAGAAGAUGAUACAACUUUUAUUAGUGAAGUUGACAUCAAAAUUGGAAGUUGCAAGUCAUUGUAUGGUUCUAUAAAAUGGCUGUUAGUUUGGUUUGAUAGGUACAUCUUCAUCUCUUCUUGGACAUUUUGUUUCUUUGCUUAGUAUAAAAUGUAUUGCAUGGGUUCAUUUUUUUUAUUUUUCCCAAAUAUACUACAGGCCCUCUAUAGGGUCAUUAUUUUU